UCUGAUUAGCUUGUUGGCGGGGUAACGGCCCACCAAGGCUACGAUCAGUAGGGGUUCUGAGAGGAAGGUCCCCCACAUUGGAACUGAGACACGGUCCAAACUCCUACGGGAGGCAGCAGUGAGGAAUAUUGGUCAAUGGACGAGAGUCUGAACCAGCCAAGUAGCGUGCAGGAUGACGGCCCUAUGGGUUGUAAACUGCUUUUAUAAGGGAAUAAAGUGAGUCUCGUGAGACUUUUUGCAUGUACCUUAUGAAUAAGGACCGGCUAAUUCCGUGCCAGCAGCCGCGGUAAUACGGAAGGUCCGGGCGUUAUCCGGAUUUAUUGGGUUUAAAGGGAGCGUAGGCCGGAGAUUAAGCGUGUUGUGAAAUGUAGAUGCUCAACAUCUGCACUGCAGCGCGAACUGGUUUCCUUGAGUACGCACAAAGUGGGCGGAAUUCGUGGUGUAGCGGUGAAAUGCUUAGAUAUCACGAAGAACUCCGAUUGCGAAGGCAGCUCACUGGAGCGCAACUGACGCUGAAGCUCGAAAGUGCGGGUAUCGAACAGGAUUAGAUACCCUGGUAGUCCGCACGGUAAACGAUGGAUGCCCGCUGUUGGUCUGAAUAGGUCAGCGGCCAAGCGAAAGCAUUAAGCAUCCCACCUGGGGAGUACGCCGGCAACGGUGCAACUCAAAUGAAUUGACGG
This 680-nucleotide ribosomal RNA is filed under the name uncultured Bacteroidota bacterium. Its description in RNAcentral is "bacterial SSU rRNA". It matches the Rfam family "Bacterial small subunit ribosomal RNA", at positions 236 to 916 of the family's 1533-position model. The record is from RNAcentral. Lineage: Bacteria; Pseudomonadati; Bacteroidota.